RNAcentral lists this ribosomal RNA (373 nucleotides) under uncultured bacterium. RNAcentral describes it as "bacterial SSU rRNA". It matches the Rfam family "Bacterial small subunit ribosomal RNA", at positions 525 to 896 of the family's 1533-position model. The record is from RNAcentral.
ACGGGGGGUGCAAGCGUUGUUCGGAUUUAUUGGGCGUAAAGCGCGUGUAGGCGGUUUUAUAAGUCUGAUGUGAAAGCCCUGGGCUCAACCCGGGAAGUGCAUUGGAUACUGUAAGACUUGAAUACGGGAGAGGGCAGUGGAAUUCCUAGUGUAGGAGUGAAAUCCGUAGAUAUUAGGAGGAACACCGGUGGCGAAGGCGGCUGCCUGGACCGAUAUUGACGCUGAGACGCGAAAGCGUGGGUAGCAAACAGGAUUAGAUACCCUGGUAGUCCACGCUGUAAACGAUGAGAACUAGGUGUUGCGGGUAUUGACCCCUGCAGUGCCGUAGCUAACGCAUUAAGUUCUCCGCCUGGGAAGUACGGUCGCAAGACUA